UUCUGUGAUUCCGUGCCUCUGCAGAGACCAACUCCCUUAAGGAAACUGGCACCACCCGAGCGCGGUUGAUGUGCGAAUCGCAGGUCCCGAUGCUGCACAGAGCUCAGACCGAGCUAAACCUUCCAGCCAGCCCCCAAACCCAUCGGUUGCAGCCUUUUAAUCGAAGGCAGGGAAAGGAUCGCUCUGCUGUGGGUAUCGACUGAUCACACGCGUCCCUGGGGAGGGAGCGGGCGAAGCGCUGCAGCCUCCGGUCAGUGCUGCCGCUCCACGCCACGGCCGCGCUGCAGCCCGCGCCUCCUCCCGGGGCAUCGCAGCCUGCUGGGGAAAUCCCUCUCUUGUGGGCUCCUUAACUAUCAAUCGAAUAUAAGGCUUUCCAAACCGUGAGUAAGGGUUUAAUGCUUGUUCUGUCUGUGGGGGUUAUUAUGCUGCGAGUCUCGGUGUGCAAAAUGAGUGUUACAACAUCUUAGUGACCGUCCCUAAUGAUGUGUAUCUGCAUGGCUUUUCCCAACGAGCCUCGGAGCCACCUGCUCUAUGAAUACAUUGAAUUUCGAAUAAAAACCUAAAAACUUCACUGAAACGGUGUAUUUUGGCUCAGUGAAGAGAAAAUACAAGGUUGCUCCUGGCCAGUUUGGAGCCCAGUAAUUGGGACUUCGGUGAUGGUGAUUAGAGAUUUUAAAUGGUGUGACUCGCUGGCCGCUGCUUUAAUUGUUUUUUUUCUUUAGUUUUCCUUCAACUGCAUUAGAGACGUUGCAGAGUUUGGUGUUGAGAAGGAUACAAACAGACUGCCACAAAACCCUCUCCAUUACCCUUGUAGGAUCCACCUCCUGCUCGGCCCCACAAGCCCCUGAGAGCCGGGAAGAAGCGGGGAGCGAAUGGAGAGAGAGUGACAGGACGGAGCUACAGGAGGCCAUGGAGCACAACAGCAGACUGGACAAGGAAAUUCUGGCGCUGCGAGCGCGGGUCCAAACACUUGACUUGGAAAGAAAAGCAUUCCUGGAUCUGGUUGAACAGCUCAAAGAGGAGAUCUGUGAGUAUCAGAAGAGUGAGAAGCAAGGAACUCCAUUGCCUGCACCAGCCGACACUGAGGAAGUAGCCACGUGCUCGCUGCAGGUAUUCCCAAGGGCUUUUUGUUUGCCAUUCUAGAAGCCAAAUGAAGCAAACUGGUUCCACUCUGUGUUUCACAAUGCCAGAAAUGAAGAC
RNAcentral lists this long non-coding RNA (1200 nucleotides) under Calidris pygmaea (Spoon-billed sandpiper). RNAcentral's name for it is "lncRNA (ENSCPGG00000007784.1)". Lineage: Eukaryota; Metazoa; Chordata; Aves; Charadriiformes; Scolopacidae. The record is from RNAcentral.